Molecule: transfer RNA, 140 nt
Filed under: Pogostemon guamensis
Lineage: Eukaryota; Viridiplantae; Streptophyta; Magnoliopsida; Lamiales; Lamiaceae
Description: Pogostemon sp. GJ-2020 partial tRNA-Leu
Source: RNAcentral
AAUCGGUAGACGCUACGGACUUAAUUAUAGAAUAAAGAUAGAGUCCCAUUCUACAUGUCAAUACCGGCAACAAUGAAAUUUAUAGUAAGAGGAAAAUCCGUCGACUUUAAAAAUCGUGAGGGUUCAAGUCCCUCUAUCCC